CACGUAGGCACCAAGCGUUGUCCGGAUUUAUUGGGCGUAAAGAGCUCGUAGGCGGUUCAGUAAGUCAGGUGUGAAAUCUUUGGGCUUAACCCAAAGCGUGCACUUGAUACUGCUGUGACUUGAGUUCGGUAGGGGAGUGGGGAAUUCCUAGUGUAGCGGUGAAAUGCGCAGAUAUUAGGAGGAACACCGGUGGCGAAGGCGCCACUCUGGGCCGAAACUGACGCUGAGGAGCGAAAGCGUGGGGAGCGAACAGG
RNAcentral lists this ribosomal RNA (254 nucleotides) under uncultured bacterium. RNAcentral describes it as "partial 16S ribosomal RNA". It matches the Rfam family "Bacterial small subunit ribosomal RNA", at positions 524 to 776 of the family's 1533-position model. The record is from RNAcentral.